GACGAACGCUGGCGGCGUGCUUAACACAUGCAAGUCGAACGAUGAAGCCGGAGCUUGCUCUGGUGAAUUAGUGGCGAACGGGUGAGUAACACGUGAGUAACCUGCCCUUGCCUCUGGGAUAACUGCUAGAAAUGGUAGCUAAUACCGGAUACGACCCUCGGAGGCAUCUCCAGGGGGUGGAAAGAAUUUCGGUCAAGGAUGGACUCGCGGCCUAUCAGCUAGUUGGUGAGGUAACGGCGCACCCAGGCGACGACGGGUAGCCGGCCUGAGAGGGUGACCGGCCACACUGGGACGGAGACACGGCCCAGACUCCUACGGGAGGCAGCAGUGGGGAAUAUUGCACAAUGGGCGCAAGCCUGAUGCAGCAACGCCGCGUGAGGGAUGACGGCCUUCGGGUUGUAAACCUCUUUUAGUAGGGAAGAAGCGAAAGUGACGGUACCUGCAGAAAAAGCACCGGCUAACUACGUGCCAGCCGCCGCCGUAC
RNAcentral lists this ribosomal RNA (484 nucleotides) under uncultured bacterium. RNAcentral describes it as "partial 16S ribosomal RNA". It matches the Rfam family "Bacterial small subunit ribosomal RNA", at positions 28 to 523 of the family's 1533-position model. The record is from RNAcentral.